UACAGAGGUCUCAACCGUUGUUCGGAUUCAUUGGGCGUAAAGGGUGCGUAGGCGGUCGGGUAAGUCGGAUGUGAAAUCCCCGGGCUCAACCUGGGAACUGCAUCCGAAACUGCCUUGCUAGAGUAUGGGAGAGGGAAGUGGAAUUUCCGGUGUAGCGGUGAAAUGCGUAGAUAUCGGAAGGAACAUCAGUGGCGAAAGCGACUUCCUGGACCAAUACUGACGCUCAUGUGCGAAAGCGUGGGGAGCAAACAGG
RNAcentral lists this ribosomal RNA (253 nucleotides) under uncultured bacterium. RNAcentral describes it as "partial 16S ribosomal RNA". It matches the Rfam family "Bacterial small subunit ribosomal RNA", at positions 524 to 776 of the family's 1533-position model. The record is from RNAcentral.